Molecule: ribosomal RNA, 421 nt
Filed under: Modisimus toma
Lineage: Eukaryota; Metazoa; Arthropoda; Arachnida; Araneae; Pholcidae
Description: partial 16S ribosomal RNA
Source: RNAcentral
AUUUCUUUAAGAAAUAAUUUAAAGUACAACCUGCUCAAUAUUAAAUAUUUACAAAUAGCUGCAGAAUCCUCUGUACUAAGGUAGCAUAAUCAUUAGCCUUAUAAUUAAAGGAUAGAAUGAAUGGUUAAACGAAGUAUAAACUGUUUCUACUAUAAAAUUUAAUUUAUCUCAAAAGUAAAAACACUUUUAUUUUUAAAGAAAGACGACAAGACCCUAAUAAACUCAAACUUUAGCUGGGGCGGCAAAAUAAAUACACCUUAUUUAUUCUACAAAAACUCCUAAUUAAAUAUUAAUCAUCAAUUAGUUACUAUAGGGAUAACAGCGCUACUUAAGUUAAAAGAUCUUAUUAAAACUUAAAACUACGACCUCGAUGUUGAAUUAAUUUAACUUUAUAAAGCAAAAUUUAUAAAAGAGGGUCUGU